RNAcentral lists this RNase P RNA (383 nucleotides) under Arthrobacter sp. Edens01. RNAcentral's name for it is "Bacterial RNase P class A". It matches the Rfam family "Bacterial RNase P class A". Rfam says of the family: Ribonuclease P (RNase P) is a ubiquitous endoribonuclease, found in archaea, bacteria and eukarya as well as chloroplasts and mitochondria. Its best characterised activity is the generation of mature 5'-ends of tRNAs by cleaving the 5'-leader elements of precursor-tRNAs. RNAcentral also lists the same sequence under 1 other name. Lineage: Bacteria; Bacillati; Actinomycetota; Actinomycetes; Micrococcales; Micrococcaceae. The record is from Rfam by way of RNAcentral.
CGGGUUGGCCAGGCAAUCGCGUCAGGACGGUUUUCGGACCGGACCUGCCGAGGAAAGUCCGGGCUCCGAAGGGCAGGGUGGUGGGUAACGCCCACUCGGGGAAACCCGCAGGCCAGUGCCACAGAGAAAAGACCGCCCGCACUCGUGUGGGUAAGGGUGAAACGGUGGUGUAAGAGACCACCAGUGCCCCGGGUGACCGGGGCAGCUAGGUAAACCCCACCCGGAGCAAGGCCAUACAGGAUGCGUUUGAGGGCUGCCCGCCCGAGCAUCCGGGUAGGCCGCUAGAGGGACCCGGCAACGGUUCCCCCAGAUGGAUGAUUGCCACCUGCUGUUCCGGCAACGGAGCGCAGGUACAAAACCCGGCUUAUCGGCCAGCCCGUCCC